Choloepus didactylus (southern two-toed sloth) is the source of this 2067-nucleotide long non-coding RNA. RefSeq lists it as uncharacterized. The record is from RefSeq and is a predicted model, not a curated record. The transcript is spliced from 5 exons. NCBI's taxonomy places the organism in Eukaryota, Metazoa, Chordata, Mammalia, Pilosa, Megalonychidae.
GGCCCAGCGGGCGGGGCCCACAGACGCGGCCCCGGCGGCCAUAUUGCUGUCUCGCCUUUCCCUUCCGACCGCUUCUUCCUUCCCGCCGCCCCCGGAGGAUUCUCUACCCUAUGGUGCAGACGAAAAAGCAAGUAGCAACUGGACAGGAGAGAAAUGGCUUUGAAACAGAUUUCCAGCAACAAGUGCUUUGGAGGAUUACAAAAAGUGUUUGAACAUGACAGUGUUGAGCUGAACUGCAAAAUGAAAUUUGCUGUGUACCUACCACCAAAGGCAGAAACUGGAAAAUGCCCCGCACUCUACUGGCUGUCUGGACAGUUUCCUUAGUGAGAUGCUGAAGAACAGAUAGACCUUGGAAAUUAAGGCUUGAUUUUCUGAGAAAAGAUAAGAUUGCCUGACCAGUGCACUUGAGAAAUGAUGACAACAGAAUUUCAGGUUUACUUCUGGUGAGUUUAAGGAAGGUGGAGACAGAAAGAUUAGAUCAGUUGGUAAAUUAGCUGAACUUGAACAAUAUGCAAACUGAAAUCCUAAAAGAUGAUCCAGAUGGAGUGAUUUGCAUCUUCCCCAAGCCAAGGCAACCUUAAAAACAGCCGUAGAUACCCAAGAGAAAUGACACAGGUACACACAGAAUCCCCUACACCAAUAUUCAUUGCUGUAUUCACAAUAGCCCAAAAAUGGAAACCACCCAAAUGUCCAUCACCCAAUGAAUGGAUAAAUACAAUGUGGUAUAUCAGCAACAGAAAGGAAUGAAGCACUGAUACAUGAUACAACAUGGGUAUACCUUGAAGGUAGUCACAAAAGAUCACAAGUUUUAGAAUUCCAUUUAUGUGAGGGGUGUAGAAUAGACAGAAACAUUAGUGGUUGCCUAGGGUUAGGGAGUUUGGAGGGGAAAUGGGGAUGUGCUGCUAAUAUAUACAGGGUUUCUUUUUGGAGUGAUGAAAAUGUUGUACAAGGAAUACACUAAAAAUCAUUAAGUUGUACAUUUUAAAUAGGUGAGUUGUUUGGUAUGUGUAUUGUAUCUUGAAGCUGUUAGCAAAAAAGAAAAAGGUCUUUAUAUAAAAUAAGUACAGUUGAUCAAGUAGAUUUUAAUUAAUAACCAUCUUCAUACACUGGAGAGCAGUUUUCAGUAGAAUGUGCUUCAUUUUCAUGAAGCUACAGCUCACUGUCUCCUACUGUAAUCAAGGAACUUGUGUCCUAACUAGAAAAUUACCAGAUUCUUCCCUGAACUCUAGCAGAUUCACAUUUCCCAAGUGUGAUACGCUGUGUAUUAUGUCCCAGACCCCACUCCAGGCUCUUUAUAUCCUUGAUGACCCUUAGUCCUCACAGCCACCUUAUGUGGUAGAAUAGAGACAAUACUGUCCUCAUUUUUCAAGUGAAAAAACUGAAGGGUCAAAAUAUUGAAGUUAUUUCUCCCAUGUUGGUCAGAUGGAAAGUGGCUGAGCUGCACUUGGAACCAGAUCCUGUGUGUAAUCCAAAGCCUUUGCUUUUUACACUACUCCCCUGCUGUCUCUGGACCUGUUUAUUUUGAGAUCAGCAAUUUUGUCAGGACUUGGGGCAGUUCACCACCACGAUAUGGCCCUGGAAUCUCUGGAUGGCAUUUCAGAGAGAAACAUACUGAACAGACAAGGGUCUUGAGGUUCUGCCAUGACUGGUGAAAAUCUGUAUGUCUUACAAGUGUUUAUUUAACCACAGACUCCCUUAAUACUUUCUCCAGUGAGACUUGUAACUUUAUAUCUUGUCAUUAUUUAUUAACAAGUUUGGAUUAAGCAGUCACUUCAUAAGCCUCUGUGCUAGUUGUUACCAUGAGACCGACCAUUCGUGAAACCGUGGCAGCUAUAGUUAAUUCCCAUUGCAUCAUGCAUAUCAGUAGGCUUUGAUGUUGCACUUAGCAGCUAGGGUGGGAUAGUUAGCAUUCGCCCCUGGAAGAGGGCUGAUGGUUUAGUGGGUUUUAAGCCCAAGCAUCUAUUCCCAGUUCAUUCUUGACCAUUUUCAUAUCAUUAUGGUAUUAGGCUCCUAUCAUGAGGGAAUUAAGUCAUCUCCAUCACAUAAAUGAGAAUAGAACUAGGAAAA